This 321-nucleotide long non-coding RNA is filed under the name Brassica napus (rape). RNAcentral describes it as "long non-coding RNA (BNAP_LNC023608)". The record is from RNAcentral. Lineage: Eukaryota; Viridiplantae; Streptophyta; Magnoliopsida; Brassicales; Brassicaceae.
AUCCAGGGGUUGUGGUGGGAUUAGGGAUAACUAGAGUUGGGAUAUGUUUAGUAUUUAAGGUUGUAGGUGGGCUUAUAAUCUUAUAUUAUUUAUGUAAUAUAGAAUAGAAUAUUCGGUGCAUAUGUAUGUGGUUAAAAAAAUGUAUACGUGGAUGACUCCAUCAAGAGAAAGACGUCACCUAAUUUCUGAUUUGCAACUAGAAACCUUUUAAUCGAUGGGACAGAACCAGAUAAAAUGUGAUACAAAUGUCUGAUAUUGAAUUAUAUCAAAAUAAAUGUUAGUUAACUAAUUUAUCUCUCAAAUAUGAUUAUUACACAAAUA